UGUGAAGCCCCGGGGCUCAACUCCGGACGUGCAUUUGAAACAGCAGGACUUGAGACAAGGAGAGGAAAGCGGAAUUCCUGGUGUAGAGGUGAAAUUCGUAGAGAUCUAGAGGAACGCCAAAGACGAAGGUAGGCGGCUGGGCCGGUUCUGACGCUCAGGCACGAAAGCGUGGGGAGCAAACAGGAUUAGAUACCCUGGUAGUCCACGCCGUAAACGUUGUGCACUAGGUGCUGGAGGUUCUGACACCAUCAGCGCCGAAGCGAAAGUGAUUAGUGCACCGCCUGGGGAGUACGGUCGCAAGGCUAAAACUCAAAGGAAUUGACGGGGGCUCACACAAGCGGUGGAGCAUGUGGCUUAAUUCGAGGCAACGCGAAGAACCUUAUCCUGGGCUUGGCAUGCAUGGAUUAACGCUGGGAAACCAGCGCCACACUCUUUGAGUGGAACAUGCACAGGUGCUGCAUGGCUGUCGUCAGCUCGUGCUGUGAAGUGUUGGGUUAAGUCCCUUAACGAGCGAAACCCCUGUCGCUAGUUACCAUCAGGUGAUGCUGGGGACUCUAGCGAGACUGCCGGUGUCAAACCGGAGGAAGGCGGGGAUGACGUCAAGUCCUCAUGGCCUUUAUGCCCAGGGCUGCACACGUGCUACAAUGGCGCCGACAGAGCGAAGCAAAACCGCGAGGUAGAGCAAAUCGCAAAAAAGGUGCCCCAGUUCGGAUUGCAGUCUGCAACUCGACUGCAUGAAGCCGGAAUCGCUAGUAAUCGCGUAUCAGCAACGACGCGGUGAAUACGUUCCUGAGCCUGUACACACCGCCCGUCAAGUCAUGGAAGCCGGGAGUACCACGAAGUCGCACCGAUUCAG
RNAcentral lists this ribosomal RNA (856 nucleotides) under uncultured organism. RNAcentral describes it as "bacterial SSU rRNA". It matches the Rfam family "Bacterial small subunit ribosomal RNA", at positions 593 to 1441 of the family's 1533-position model. The record is from RNAcentral.